UCGCGUCUGUCGUGAANUCCUCUGGCUUAACUGGGGGCUUGCGGUGGGUACGGGCCGGCUUGAGUGCGGUAGGGGAGGCUGGAACUCCUGGUGUAGCGGUGGAAUGCGCAGAUAUCAGGAAGAACACCGGUGGCGAAGGCGGGUCUCUGGGCCGUUACUGACGCUGAGGAGCGAAAGCGUGGGGAGCGAACAGGAUUAGAUACCCUGGUAGUNCACGCCGUAAACGUUGGGCACUAGGUGUGGGGGGCCUUUUCCGGGUUUUCCGCGCCGUAGCUAACGCAUUAAGUGCCCCGCCUGGGGAGUACGGCCGCAAGGCUAAAACUCAAAGGAAUUGACGGGGGCCCGCACAAGCGGCGGAGCAUGCGGAUUAAUUCGAUGCAACGCGAAGAACCUUACCAAGGCUUGACAUGUGCCGGUCGGCUCCGGAGACGGGGUUUCCUCCUUGUGGGGCCGGUUCACAGGUGGUGCAUGGUUGUCGUCAGCUCGUGUCGUGAGAUGUUGGGUUAAGUCCCGCAACGAGCGCAACCCUUGUCUCGUGUUGCCAGCACGUUGUGGUGGGGACUCGCGGGAGACUGCCGGGGUCAACUCGGAGGAAGGUGGGGAUGACGUCAAAUCAUCAUGCCCCUUAUGUCUUGGGCUUCACGCAUGCUACAAUGGCCGGUACAGAGGGCUGCGAUACUGUGAGGUGGAGCGAAUCCCUUAAAGCCGGUCUCAGUUCGGAUCGGUGUCUGCAACUCGACACCGUGAAGUUGGAGUCGCUAGUAAUCGCAGAUCAGCAACGCUGCGGUGAAUACGUUCUCGG
RNAcentral lists this ribosomal RNA (802 nucleotides) under uncultured bacterium. RNAcentral describes it as "bacterial SSU rRNA". It matches the Rfam family "Bacterial small subunit ribosomal RNA", at positions 583 to 1377 of the family's 1533-position model. The record is from RNAcentral.